GACGAACGCUGGCGGCGUGCUUAACACAUGCAAGUCGAACGGUGAAGCUCCAGCUUGCUGGAGUGGAUCAGUGGCGAACGGGUGAGUAACACGUGAGCAACCUGCCCCUGACUCUGGAGUAAGCGCUGGAAACGGCGUCUAAUACUGGAUACGAGAAGGGUCCGCAUGGGCACUUUCUGGAAAGUUUUUCGGUUGGGGAUGGGCUCGCGGCCUAUCAGCUUGUUGGUGAGGUAAUGGCUCACCAAGGCGACGACGGGUAGCCGGCCUGAGAGGGCGACCGGCCACACUGGGACUGAGACACGGCCCAGACUCCUACGGGAGGCAGCAGUGGGGAAUAUUGCACAAUGGGCGAAAGCCUGAUGCAGCGACGCCGCGUGAGGGAUGACGGCCUUCGGGUUGUAAACCUCUUUCAGCAGGGAAGAAGCGAAAGUGACGGUACCUGCAGAAGAAGCACCGGCUAACUACGUG
RNAcentral lists this ribosomal RNA (468 nucleotides) under uncultured bacterium. Its description in RNAcentral is "partial 16S ribosomal RNA". It matches the Rfam family "Bacterial small subunit ribosomal RNA", at positions 28 to 507 of the family's 1533-position model. The record is from RNAcentral.